Molecule: ribosomal RNA, 401 nt
Filed under: uncultured bacterium
Lineage: Bacteria
Description: bacterial SSU rRNA
Rfam family: Bacterial small subunit ribosomal RNA
Source: RNAcentral
GAUGAACGCUGGCGGCGUGCUUUACACAUGCAAGUCGAACGCUGAAGCCCCUUCGGGGGCCGAUGAGUGGCGAACGGGUGAGUAACACGUGGGUAACCUACCUCGCACAUCGGGAUAAGCCCGGGAAACUGGGUCUAAUACCGAAUAUGACUUAUCACCACAUGGUGGUAAGUGGAAAGUUCCGGCGGUGCGAGAUGGACCCGCGGCCUAUCAGCUUGUUGGUGGGGUAAUGGCCCACCAAGGCGACAACGGGUAGCCGGCCUGAGAGGUGUCCGGCCACACUGGACUGAGAUACGGCCCAGACUCCUACGGGAGGCAGCAGUAGGGAAUUUUGCGCAAUGGGCGAAAGCCUGACGCAGCGACGCCGCGUGAGGGACGACGGCCUCGGUUGUUAACCGUAC